AAAACUAGCCAGUCUUUGGGGUAUGAAACCCAUUUGGGCGAGAGUAGUACUAGGAUGGAUGACCUCCUGGGAAGUCCUCGUGAAAGGGUUUC
Non-coding RNA from Triticum urartu, 92 nucleotides. The record is from Rfam. Lineage: Eukaryota; Viridiplantae; Streptophyta; Magnoliopsida; Poales; Poaceae.